Molecule: transfer RNA, 62 nt
Filed under: Hyalella tiwanaku
Lineage: Eukaryota; Metazoa; Arthropoda; Malacostraca; Amphipoda; Hyalellidae
Description: tRNA-Met
Source: RNAcentral
AAAAAGAUAAGCUAAAUAAGCUAUCGGGUUCAUACCUCGUUUAUGAAUAAACUCUCUUUUUA